UUUCAUGAACUAACUCCCUCAUCGAGGCAAAACGUUUUCAGAAAAAGAUUCGCUAAAUUAAGAUUCCGGGAAAUCCUCGAUCAAGCUCCUGUGGCAUCACAUGCAUUGAGCCAAGUCACACCAAAAGCUCCUGUGUCACCUCCGAAUCAGUGAG
RNAcentral lists this long non-coding RNA (154 nucleotides) under Microtus ochrogaster (prairie vole). RNAcentral's name for it is "Adaptive response 33 conserved region 3 (ENSMOCG00000008484.1)". It matches the Rfam family "Adaptive response 33 conserved region 3". The record is from RNAcentral. Lineage: Eukaryota; Metazoa; Chordata; Mammalia; Rodentia; Cricetidae.